Molecule: long non-coding RNA, 415 nt
Filed under: Anser brachyrhynchus (Pink-footed goose)
Lineage: Eukaryota; Metazoa; Chordata; Aves; Anseriformes; Anatidae
Description: lncRNA (ENSABRG00000011510.1)
Source: RNAcentral
GGAAAAGGAAAAUGGGGUUUGCCAAAGGCGGGGCAGAGGCACCCAGGGUUCACCAAAGCUCUGCCGUUUCCAAGGGCAAGGAGCCCACAUUUUGCCGUAGCCGAAGCCAAGGGCAUCCAUAGGCUCUUCUGCUUCUUCUGCUACCUGGCACCAAUCCCUCGGCUGUGAUUUUGGGGCAGAAGAUAAUUAGUUUGGAGGUGCACUGGCUGCCAUGAUGGCACUGCUGCUGUCAGCUGAAAGAAAUUCCCCGUGCCACAGUGCUGCUGGCGCUCACUGGAUGCUGGUGAUUGCAAUGGUUUGGGCUACUGGGCUACAAGCUGGGGCCAACGUGCUGCAGCUCUGCGGAGCAAACCAGCCUCUUCAAACGCUGAAGAUAGAGCAUAGUUGAAAAAUGUUGAAGCAUAUUUAGCUCACG